This 432-nucleotide ribosomal RNA is filed under the name Triticum aestivum (bread wheat). Its description in RNAcentral is "partial small subunit ribosomal RNA". The record is from RNAcentral. Lineage: Eukaryota; Viridiplantae; Streptophyta; Magnoliopsida; Poales; Poaceae.
UUGUUCGAGGACGAGCUCGCCAACCAAGCAGCCGGUCCUAAGACGAAGCGCAAGAGCAAGCGCACGAAGGCGUACACGGCGGCAGAGGAUAAGCUUCUUUGCGAGUGUUGGCGAGACAUUGGACAAGACCCUAAGACGGGCGCCGAGCAAAAGCAUUCAACCUUUUGGAUUCGUGUCCACCGAGAGUUUCAUGAGCGCAAGAAGUUUCCGUCUUACCAAUUUGUGAGCACGCACGGGUGGGUCUCCAUUUCCAAGCGAUGGAGGGUGAUCCAACAAGAGUGCAACAAGUUUUGCGCCAUUCUUGAGAGCGUCAAGGCCCGCCCCGUGAGCGGCAUCGACAUGCAAGACAUGGCAUUUCAAGCUUUGGAGGCAUUCAAGGUUCAACACAAUGGCAAGUGCUUCAACCUCUCCCAUUGCUAUCGGGUCAUCAAG